RNAcentral lists this ribosomal RNA (727 nucleotides) under soil bacterium is133. RNAcentral describes it as "bacterial SSU rRNA". It matches the Rfam family "Bacterial small subunit ribosomal RNA", at positions 19 to 744 of the family's 1533-position model. The record is from RNAcentral.
CUGGNUCAGAUUGAACGCUGGCGGCAGCCUAACACAUGCAAGUCGAGCGGCAGCACGGGUAAUUGUACCUGGUGGCGAGCGGCGGACGGUGAGUAAUGCNUAGGAAUCUCCNUGGNUAGGGGNNGGAAGUUCGGAAACGGACGNUAAUACCGCAUAGUCNUACGGGAGAAAGCAGGGACNUUCGGGCNUUGCGCUAUCAGAUGAGCUUAGGUCGGAUUAGCUAGUUGGUGAGGUAAUGGCUCACCAAGGCGACGAUCCGUAACUGGUCUGAGAGGAUGAUCAGUCACACUGGAACUGAGACACGGUCCAGACUCCUACGGGAGGCAGCAGUGGGGAAUAUUGGACAAUGGGCGAAAGCCUGAUCCAGCCAUGCCGCGUGUGUGAAGAAGGUCUUCGGAUUGUAAAGCACUUUAAGUUGGGAGGAAGGGCAGUUACCUAAUACGUAUCUGUUUUGACGUUACCGACAGAAUAAGCACCGGCUAACUCUGUGCCAGCAGCCGCGGUAAUACAGAGGGUGCAAGCGUUAAUCGGAAUUACUGGGCGUAAAGCGCGCGUAGGUGGUUCGUUAAGUUGGAUGUGAAAUCCCCGGGCUCAACCUGGGAACUGCAUUCAAAACUGUCGAGCUAGAGUAUGGUAGAGGGUGGUGGAAUUUCCUGUGUAGCGGUGAAAUGCGUAGAUAUAGGAAGGAACACCAGUGGCGAAGGCGACCACCUGGACUAAUACNGAC